RNAcentral lists this ribosomal RNA (468 nucleotides) under uncultured bacterium. RNAcentral's name for it is "partial 16S ribosomal RNA". It matches the Rfam family "Bacterial small subunit ribosomal RNA", at positions 28 to 507 of the family's 1533-position model. The record is from RNAcentral.
GACGAACGCUGGCGGCGUGCUUAACACAUGCAAGUCGAACGGAAAUGCCCUGCUUUUGUGGGGUGCUCGAGUGGCGAACGGGUGAGUAACACGUGAUUAACCUGCCCUUGACUUUGGGAUAACUUCAGGAAACUGGGGCUAAUACCGGAUAGGAGCUCCUGCUGCAUGGUGGGGGUUGGAAAGUUUCGGCGGUUGGGGAUGGACUCGCGGCUUAUCAGCUUGUUGGUGGGGUAGUGGCUUACCAAGGCUUUGACGGGUAGCCGGCCUGAGAGGGUGACCGGCCAAAUUGGGACUGAGAUACGGCCCAGACUCCUACGGGAGGCAGCAGUGGGGAAUAUUGCACAAUGGGCGGAAGCCUGAUGCAGCAACGCCGCGUGCGGGAUGACGGCCUUCGGGUUGUAAACCGCUUUCGCCUGUGACGAAGCGUGAGUGACGGUAAUGGGUAAAGAAGCACCGGCUAACUACGUG